UUCCAGUUGGGUCACAUAUCCAUCUCUGAGUCUGUCACUGGGAGAAUGGGAUGCUUUUUUGGACUAGGCCUGUCUUCCAUACCCAUCUGGGACAACAGGACUUGCUCUGGGGACAACUUCAUCUGUAUAUGAAUGGAGACUGAAGAAUGGAGGCUGGAGUGCAGUGGUGCAAUCAUGGUUCGCUACAAUCCUGACCUCCCGGGCCCAAGCCAUCCUCCUGCCUCAGCCUCUCAAGUAGCUGGGACUACAGGGUCUUUCCAUGUUGUCCAGGCUGGUUUCAAGUUCCUGAGCUCAAGCUAUCCACCUGCCUCAGCCUCCCAAAGUGCUGAGAUUACAGGCAUGAGCCACUGUGCCGGUGACUUACCUCUAACCAACAGAAUAGAGCAACAGUGAGAGGAUGUCAAUUCUGUGGUAGGUUGCAAAAAAUUGUAAGUUCCUAGCAGUCUUUCUCAUUGGUUUUAAUAUAAAAAAGCUGCUGUGCUGGAGGGACCCAUGAGGCAAAGAACUGAGAGCAGCCUUUAGCUAACAGCCAGCAAGGAAUGAGGUGCUCAGUCCAGCAACCACAGAGAAACUGAAUCCUGCUGAUGAUCAUGAGGGUAAGCUUGGAAGCAGAUUCUGUCCCAGAUGAACUUUGAUUGUGUCUUGUUAGAGACUCCUUGAUUGCACCUGUGAGAGGCCCUGAAGCGGAGGACCCAGCUAAGGUACGUGCAGAGCAGUGAAAAAUUUGAAUGGCCUGAGAUACACGCUCCCUGCUGAGGUCGCACAAGGAACAAGGACAAAGUUAAAUUCUCCACAACUCAAACCAAAUUAGAAGCUCCCUGUUGGAUGACCAAGUUCUCUCUAAAAGUUUGUUGGUGACCACAGUUUAUUCCCUGAAACUGACUUGGCCACUAAUUCACUCUGUUCUCUUAGAUGGCAAGGAUAUUGCUAUUGGCGCAUAGGAUGUGAACAGUGGUGUUGAGAUCACCCUCAUUUGACUGAUGAUGCCAUUGAGACUCAGAGAUGAUUCAUGCAGAGCUCGACUACCUCCAUGAGAAAUGACUCUCCUGUAGGGCUCGAUGACUUUCAUGUCAAUGCGCUGCUCUUGUUCUCCAAUCACCACUGUCCUCCACAGCCGGUUGUCCUCCCGUUCCUCUUCGGCCGUAUAUUCUGGAAUAGACUCUGACUCUUGGCCAGAAUCUUUGUUGGCUGUGGGAUCUUCUGGAAACAAAGCAUAGAGCAGGGCUGAAGGAUCAAGACCUCCAUAGUGCAGGCAGCUAAACAGCCAGAUGGUAAGCUUUAAAAUACUUUUUUAAAUGAACACAGAGUACUUCUACGGAAUCAACCUGCAGAAUCAACCUGAUCAAAGUCCUUGUUUUGUACAGCCUUUACAGAGCUUAGCAAUAUCCUGACCAUAUAAAGUACACUCAAUAAAGUCUUUUUUCAUUAACUGAACAACCACCUCCAUUGCUAAGGUCAUGCUGAGGGUGAGACUAGGUGCAAAGCUUGAGCUGUCUUGCAUGGGUAGUGGUCCAAGGUGUGCACAAGCCAGGACCAACUCAUCCUUGAUCAGGGUAAAGAUUGCAGGUCUUUCUAAUGGGGUGAAAGGCUUUGUUACUAGACUCAGAAAAUUUUGCGGUUUUGGGGUCACAUCUCUUCAGUGCUUAAGAGUCUUUUGGGGUCCUCAACUUGGAAUCGUGAUGAUAUUACAAGCCAAGACUCCUACGCUAAGACUCUCACAACUGGGCUGAGCCCCCUAUUGGGAGCACAUCUGGACGUAAAUUUGAUAUUACUUUCUAUGUACUAUUUCAAAAUACGCCACACAAAGACUUUAUAGUAAGCGAGAAACAACUGUGUAGACCAGAAAUGCUCAAAGACCCCAACUGCACAAGACUCCCAAAUUGAUGGGUGCAUAAAACAAUAAAAAAGCCUACUGAGCAUUCU
This is a long non-coding RNA of Rhinopithecus roxellana (golden snub-nosed monkey), 1923 nucleotides long. RefSeq lists it as uncharacterized. The record is from RefSeq and is a predicted model, not a curated record. Lineage: Eukaryota; Metazoa; Chordata; Mammalia; Primates; Cercopithecidae. The transcript has 7 exons.